GUGUGCGUGUGCGUGUGUGCGCGCGGGCAUUUUCAGAGUCUACAUUUUUCUCCGAGUUUGACUACUCCAAGACUGGCUAUCCGCCUGGGGCAAAAGGAUGCGAACCUUACAAAAGGUGGAGUCUGGGUCGGCCAAAAAAUGUUGAAAGUUUGACUUGCUCUCUCCUACAAGCGGAAGAAAGCAAAUAAAAUCAGGUUCUGGGCUGGAGAAAGCUUCAGAUAAACUAGAGGCAAGAAGGGGAAAAAGCUCUGCAGGCUUUUCUUCAACUUGGCGGCGGCUGCUGCUGCUGCAGCCCCAGCCCCUCCCGGCACUCGCGCCUGAGCUCCCCGGCCGCUGUGCGGUACCCUGAUGAGGAAGCUUGAGACACAUAGAGGUUAACGGGUGAAGGAUCUUGCCCAAAGUCACCUGGCCGGCAAGAGCUGAGUCAAAUUGCUACCCAGGCCUGAAAGAAACAGAGAGGUGUGGUAUCUGACCCCCGAAUCUGGAAUACACUGCAGUGCCCAGCGUCCUCUGGAUCAAAAGGCAAGUGAGCAUGUCCAUCGGCAUGAAUCAGAUUACCAGGGAUCUGUGUAUGGAUUGAACAUGAUGUCUCCAAAGUGCAUGAAAGACCACGGGGUGUCGUGUCAAUAUGCACACGUCACAGAGAACAGUUCCUGGUCCAUAUCAAGCUCUAUACAUGUGUUUGCUCCUACCGACGUCAGUAUCAGCAUCCUCAUCCUCAUCAUUACGGGAAGUAGCAUAACCGUACUAUAAUGAUAAACAGAACAACAGAUACAAAAGUAUGAAGACAUUACCUCCCCCCAUGUCCUAAUUUUUAAAACUGCAGAGAAAAAGAACUGGAAGGCAGUAGACCACGUAUUAAGUGUUUUUCUCUUGAGUGUGAAAUUCUAGAUAAUGCCCAAAUAACCUUUUAAUGUGCUGUAUCUUCAUUGUUACAUAGCCAGUUUUUCUAUUAUAAUUUUAAAAUAGUUUUUCUGAAGACCUGUUCUCUCAGGUAUCUUGACGUUUCAGGAUUAAAAAAAAAUUGUUUUGGUAUCCUUGCAAAGUGAAAACCCAGUCAGCACACUUAAGUGAGGAGUAUGA
Molecule: long non-coding RNA, 1083 nt
Organism: Balaenoptera acutorostrata (minke whale)
Lineage: Eukaryota; Metazoa; Chordata; Mammalia; Artiodactyla; Balaenopteridae
Exons: 3
Source: RefSeq, a predicted model, not a curated record